This is a long non-coding RNA of Manis pentadactyla (Chinese pangolin), 958 nucleotides long. RefSeq lists it as uncharacterized. The record is from RefSeq and is a predicted model, not a curated record. The transcript is spliced from 3 exons. NCBI's taxonomy places the organism in Eukaryota, Metazoa, Chordata, Mammalia, Pholidota, Manidae.
CCACCCUCCUCACCGGGGCGGAAGCAUGGUCCUCCCCACCGGGGCGGAAGCCGGGUUCAGCCGGCAGAAGAUCCGGGGCUGGGGAAAAAAGGGUAGUCCUGCGAAGACUGAAGGGUGAGGACGGGGCGCCCACUCUGCGCGUGAUCGCCGGCCCUGCGCGUGCGCCCUGGCGCGGCCCGGGUGACAGGGUGUGGAAACUUCUCAUUUGGAAUUAGUAGAAUCUAUUUGGACAUAUAUGCCACAUGUUCACAUUUUGGGGAAAUUUUGUAAUCAUAAUGGAGCAUUUCCAAUUCCUCCUGAAAAUAAACUGAAAAUUCCUGUAGGAGCCAAAAUUCAAACUUCACAUUUAGUUGGUUUAUUUUUGGACAUCAAGCCCAUCAUUACCAGCCAGUGAAGAAGGAUUUCAGCCUAUGCCCUCAAUCACAAUAAGACCAGCAGAUGACCAACAUCUUCCUAUUGCAAAUACUUGCAUUUCUCGACUUUAUGUCCCACUCUAUUCCUCUAGAUUCUCAAACAGAAGUUGCUACUUGCCAUUAAGACCAAGAAUUUUGGUUUUGUGUAGAGUAUAAAAAGUGUGUAUUGAUGUGUAAUAUUACUAGCUAAUUUUGUAGAUUUCUUUCCCAUUUGUCUAUAAAAGUUUAUGAAAGUUAAUGCUGUCACACCCCCUGGUGGUACUUUAAAGAGAUUAAAUGCAAACAUUCCUUGCUGAGUUUGUAGCUUAAAGGCCAGAGAAGCACUGGCAACAUUUGACUAUAAUGGUUUGCUAGUCAACAACUUCUGGGUCUAACCCCAGCCAAAGAUGACAGCAGAACAACAUAAUUUACAUUAUGAUUUAUGUUUGCUGAGGGGAAAAAAUGUAAAAUGUUAUGAAAAUUCACUGCUGCCUUUGUGUAAAGUGUUUCAGAAAAGGUUCUUGUAUAGAGGGAAUAGGGAAUUUCAAAAUAAAAAGUUAAGUAUG